RNAcentral lists this ribosomal RNA (2121 nucleotides) under Vibrio natriegens NBRC 15636 = ATCC 14048 = DSM 759. RNAcentral's name for it is "bacterial LSU rRNA". It matches the Rfam family "Bacterial large subunit ribosomal RNA", at positions 1 to 2163 of the family's 2925-position model. The record is from RNAcentral. Lineage: Bacteria; Pseudomonadati; Pseudomonadota; Gammaproteobacteria; Vibrionales; Vibrionaceae.
UUAAGUGACUAAGCGUACACGGUGGAUGCCUUGGCAGUCAGAGGCGAUGAAGGACGUAUUAACUUGCGAUAAGCCCAGAUUAGGCAGUAAAAGCCACUUGAGUCUGGGAUUUCCGAAUGGGGAAACCCACUUACAUAAGUAAGUAUCCUGUUGUGAAUACAUAGCAACAGGAGGCGAACCGGGGGAACUGAAACAUCUAAGUACCCCGAGGAAAAGAAAUCAACCGAGAUUCCGAAAGUAGCGGCGAGCGAAAUUGGACUAGCCCUUAAGCUUUAUAAGCGUUAGGUGAACAAGCUGGAAAGCUUGGCGAUACAGGGUGAUAGCCCCGUAACUGACGACGCAUAUUCAGUGAAAUCGAGUAGGGCGGGACACGUGAUAUCCUGUCUGAAUAUGGGGGGACCAUCCUCCAAGGCUAAAUACUACUGACUGACCGAUAGUGAACCAGUACCGUGAGGGAAAGGCGAAAAGAACCCCUGUGAGGGGAGUGAAAUAGAACCUGAAACCGUGUACGUACAAGCAGUAGGAGCAGGCUUUGUCCUGUGACUGCGUACCUUUUGUAUAAUGGGUCAGCGACUUAUAUUCAGUGGCAAGGUUAACCAUCUAGGGGAGCCGUAGGGAAACCGAGUCUUAACUGGGCGUUCAGUCUCUGGAUAUAGACCCGAAACCAGGUGAUCUAGCCAUGGGCAGGUUGAAGGUUGAGUAACAUCAACUGGAGGACCGAACCGACUAAUGUUGAAAAAUUAGCGGAUGACUUGUGGCUAGGGGUGAAAGGCCAAUCAAACCUGGAGAUAGCUGGUUCUCCCCGAAAGCUAUUUAGGUAGCGCCUCGGACGAAUACUACUGGGGGUAGAGCACUGUUAAGGCUAGGGGGUCAUCCCGACUUACCAACCCUUUGCAAACUCCGAAUACCAGUAAGUACUAUCCGGGAGACACACGGCGGGUGCUAACGUCCGUCGUGGAGAGGGAAACAACCCAGACCGCCAGCUAAGGUCCCAAAUUACUACUAAGUGGGAAACGAUGUGGGAAGGCUCAGACAGCCAGGAUGUUGGCUUAGAAGCAGCCAUCAUUUAAAGAAAGCGUAAUAGCUCACUGGUCGAGUCGGCCUGCGCGGAAGAUGUAACGGGGCUAAGUAGUAAACCGAAGCUGCGGCAAUACUCUUUGAGUAUUGGGUAGGGGAGCGUUCUGUAAGCGGUUGAAGGUGUGUGGUAACGCAUGCUGGACGUAUCAGAAGUGCGAAUGCUGACAUGAGUAACGAUAAAGGGGGUGAAAAACCUCCUCGCCGGAAGACCAAGGGUUCCUGUCCAACGUUAAUCGGGGCAGGGUAAGUCGACCCCUAAGGCGAGGCCGAAAGGCGUAGUCGAUGGGAAACGGGUUAAUAUUCCCGUACUUCUUACAAUUGCGAUGGGGGGACGGAGAAGGCUAGGUGGGCCUGGCGACGGUUGUCCAGGUUCAAGUGCGUAGGCUUGAGAGUUAGGUAAAUCCGGCUCUCUCUAAGGCUGAGACACGAUGUCGAGCACCUACGGGUGUGAAGUCAUUGAUGCCAUGCUUCCAGGAAAAGCCUCUAAGCUUCAGAUUGUAAGGAAUCGUACCCCAAACCGACACAGGUGGUCGGGUAGAGAAUACCAAGGCGCUUGAGAGAACUCGGGUGAAGGAACUAGGCAAAAUGGUACCGUAACUUCGGGAGAAGGUACGCUCUCGACGGUGAAGUCCCUCGCGGAUGGAGCUAUUGAGAGUCGCAGAUACCAGGUGGCUGCAACUGUUUAUUAAAAACACAGCACUGUGCAAAAUCGUAAGAUGACGUAUACGGUGUGACGCCUGCCCGGUGCCGGAAGGUUAAUUGAUGGGGUUAGACUUCGGUCGAAGCUCUUGAUCGAAGCCCCGGUAAACGGCGGCCGUAACUAUAACGGUCCUAAGGUAGCGAAAUUCCUUGUCGGGUAAGUUCCGACCUGCACGAAUGGCGUAAUGAUGGCCACGCUGUCUCCACCCGAGACUCAGUGAAAUUGAAAUCGCUGUGAAGAUGCAGUGUACCCGCGGCUAGACGGAAAGACCCCGUGAACCUUUACUACAGCUUGGCACUGAACAUUGACCCUACAUGUGUAGGAUAGGUGGGAGGCUUUGAAAC